UACGUAGGGUGCGAGCGUUAAUCGGAAUUACUGGGCGUAAAGUGUGCGCAGGCGGCCGCGCAAGUCGAGUGUGAAAGCCCCGAGCUUAACUUGGGAAUUGCGCUCGAAACUACGUGGCUGGAGUGUGGCAGAGGAAGGUGGAAUUCCAGGUGUAGCGGUGAAAUGCGCAGAUAUCAGGAGGAACACCGGUGGCGAAGGCGGAUCUCUGGGCCAUUACUGACGCUGAGGAGCGAAAGCGUGGGGAGCGAACAGG
RNAcentral lists this ribosomal RNA (253 nucleotides) under uncultured bacterium. RNAcentral describes it as "partial 16S ribosomal RNA". It matches the Rfam family "Bacterial small subunit ribosomal RNA", at positions 524 to 776 of the family's 1533-position model. The record is from RNAcentral.